AUCUCUCCCUGAUUGCCUGUAAGGCAGUUCUUACUCCGACGACUACCGUGGAAGACUCGGCUUCUUCUUCUUCACCCAAGACUGUAUUAGAUAUAGAAAAGAGUUCUAAAUUUGGAUCUGGAUAUAAAAAGGGAAAGGGUAUUUCUGAAAUUCCUUUGCAUGCAAAGGAGAAAGCCUCUGAGGCUGGAUCUGGUAAGGCGAAGGUGGACGGUGGUGUAAGUACUACUACUUGAUGGGCCAAUAUUAUUGGUAAGGAUUUGACAGAGAUUAAAUUCGUUGACAUUCCCGAUUCGGC
RNAcentral lists this long non-coding RNA (295 nucleotides) under Linum usitatissimum (flax). Its description in RNAcentral is "long non-coding RNA (LUSI_LNC004736)". Lineage: Eukaryota; Viridiplantae; Streptophyta; Magnoliopsida; Malpighiales; Linaceae. The record is from RNAcentral.